RNAcentral lists this ribosomal RNA (207 nucleotides) under uncultured bacterium. Its description in RNAcentral is "partial 16S ribosomal RNA". It matches the Rfam family "Bacterial small subunit ribosomal RNA", at positions 568 to 774 of the family's 1533-position model. The record is from RNAcentral.
CGCGUAGGUGGCUGAUUAAGUUGGAUGUGAAAUCCCUGGGCUUAACCUAGGAACUGCAUUCAAUACUGGUCAACUUGAGUAUGGGAGAGGGUAGUGGAAUUUCCGGUGUAGCGGUGAAAUGCGUAGAUAUCGGAAGGAACAUCAGUGGCGAAGGCGACUGCCUGGCCCAAUACUGACACUGAGGCGCGAAAGCGUGGGUAGCGAACA